Molecule: ribosomal RNA, 498 nt
Filed under: uncultured bacterium
Lineage: Bacteria
Description: partial 16S ribosomal RNA
Rfam family: Bacterial small subunit ribosomal RNA
Source: RNAcentral
AUUGAACGCUGGCGGCAUGCCUUACACAUGCAAGUCAAACGGUAACAGGUCUUCGGAUGCUGGCGAGUGGCGAACGGGUGAGUAAUACAUCGGAACGUGCCUAGUAGUGGGGGAUAACUACUCGAAAGAGUGGCUAAUACCGCAUGAGAUCUACGGAUGAAAGCAGGGGAUCGCAAGACCUUGUGCUACUAGAGCGGCCGAUGGCAGAUUAGGUAGUUGGUGGGAUAAAAGCUUACCAAGCCGACGAUCUGUAGCUGGUCUGAGAGGACGAUCAGCCACACUGGGACUGAGACACGGCCCAGACUCCUACGGGAGGCAGCAGUGGGGAAUUUUGGACAAUGGGCGCAAGCCUGAUCCAGCAAUGCCGCGUGCAGGAUGAAGGCCUUCGGGUUGUAAACUGCUUUUGUACGGAACGAAAAGCCCUGGGUUAAUACCCUGGGGUCAUGACGGUACCGUAAGAAUAAGCACCGGCUAACUACGUGCCAGCAGCCGCCGUAA